RNAcentral lists this transfer RNA (68 nucleotides) under Megophrys carinense (Burmese horned frog). RNAcentral describes it as "tRNA-Ala". It matches the Rfam family "tRNA". From Rfam's summary of the family: Transfer RNA (tRNA) molecules are approximately 80 nucleotides in length. Their secondary structure includes four short double-helical elements and three loops (D, anti-codon, and T loops). Further hydrogen bonds mediate the characteristic L-shaped molecular structure. tRNAs have two regions of fundamental functional importance: the anti-codon, which is responsible for specific mRNA codon recognition, and the 3' end, to which the tRNAs corresponding amino acid is attached (by aminoacyl-tRNA synthetases). tRNAs cope with the degeneracy of the genetic code in two manners: having more than one tRNA (with a specific anti-codon) for a particular amino acid; and 'wobble' base-pairing, i.e. permitting non-standard base-pairing at the 3rd anti-codon position. Lineage: Eukaryota; Metazoa; Chordata; Amphibia; Anura; Megophryidae. The record is from RNAcentral.
AAGGCUUUAGCUUAAGUAAAGUGCCUGGUUUGCAUCCAGAAGAUGUGGAGUGAUAUCCGCAAGUCUUA